Molecule: ribosomal RNA, 344 nt
Filed under: Pseudomonas sp. R-38757
Lineage: Bacteria; Pseudomonadati; Pseudomonadota; Gammaproteobacteria; Pseudomonadales; Pseudomonadaceae
Description: bacterial SSU rRNA
Rfam family: Bacterial small subunit ribosomal RNA
Source: RNAcentral
GGCUCAGAUUGAACGCUGGCGGCAGGCCUAACACAUGCAAGUCGAGCGGUAGAGAGAAGCUUGCUUCUCUUGAGAGCGGCGGACGGGUGAGUAAUGCCUAGGAAUCUGCCUGGUAGUGGGGGAUAACGUUCGGAAACGGACGCUAAUACCGCAUACGUCCUACGGGAGAAAGCAGGGGACCUUCGGGCCUUGCGCUAUCAGAUGAGCCUAGGUCGGAUUAGCUAGUUGGUGGGGUAAUGGCUCACCAAGGCGACGAUCCGUAACUGGUCUGAGAGGAUGAUCAGUCACACUGGAACUGAGACACGGUCCAGACUCCUACGGGAGGCAGCAGUGGGGAAUAUUGG